CAGUAGCCGCGGGAAAACGUAGGGUGCAAGCGUUAAUCGGAAUUACUGGGCGUAAAGCGUGCGCAGGCGGUCCGCUAAGACAGAUGUGAAAUCCCCGGGCUUAACCUGGGAACUGCAUUUGUGACUGGCGAGCUAGAGUAUAGCCGAGGGGGGUAGAAUUCCACGUGUAGCAGUGAAAUGCGUAGAGAUGUGGAGGAAUACCGAUGGCGAAGGCAGCCCCCUGGGCCAAUACUGACGCUCAUGCACGAAAGCGUGGGGAGCAAACAGGAUUAGAUACCCCCGUAGUCCCUGUCUCUUAUAC
RNAcentral lists this ribosomal RNA (301 nucleotides) under uncultured bacterium. RNAcentral's name for it is "partial 16S ribosomal RNA". It matches the Rfam family "Bacterial small subunit ribosomal RNA", at positions 509 to 807 of the family's 1533-position model. The record is from RNAcentral.